Molecule: ribosomal RNA, 569 nt
Filed under: uncultured bacterium
Lineage: Bacteria
Description: bacterial SSU rRNA
Rfam family: Bacterial small subunit ribosomal RNA
Source: RNAcentral
GCGCCUAACACAUGCAAGUCGAGCGAUCGGCCUGCCAAAGCCGCAAGGCCGAGGCAGGUACGGAGCGGCAAACGGGUGAGUAACACGUAGCCAACCUGCCUCCGCGACGGGGAUAACCCGGGGAAACCCGGGCUAAUACCCGAUGGUCUUCCCGGGGCACAAGCCCUGGGAAGUAAAGGCACCUUGGUGUCGCGCGGAGAGGGGGCUGCGGCCCAUCAGCUCGUUGGUGGGGUAACGGCCCACCAAGGCGACGACGGGUAGGGGGCCUGAGAGGGUGGCCCCCCACAUGGGGACUGAGACACGGCUCCGACUCCUACGGGAGGCAGCAGUGGGGAAUCUUGGGCAAUGGGCGAAAGCCUGACCCAGCGACGCCGCGUGCGGGACGAAGCCCUUCGGGGUGUAAACCGCUUUUCUGGGGGACGAAUAAGGUGGGGAGGGAAUGCCCUGCCGAUGACGGUACCCUAGGAAUCAGCCACGGCUAACUACGUGCCAGCAGCCGCGGUAAGACGUAGGUGGCGAGCGUUACCCGGAUUCACUGGGCGUAAAGGGCGCGUAGGCGGUUUGGCAAG